GUGAGUGUAUCUGAGUGGUAGAGCACAUGCUUGGUACGCAUGAGGUCGUGGGUUCAAUUCCUAGUACUUCCA
This 72-nucleotide transfer RNA is filed under the name Camelus bactrianus (Bactrian camel). It matches the Rfam family "tRNA". Rfam says of the family: Transfer RNA (tRNA) molecules are approximately 80 nucleotides in length. Their secondary structure includes four short double-helical elements and three loops (D, anti-codon, and T loops). Further hydrogen bonds mediate the characteristic L-shaped molecular structure. tRNAs have two regions of fundamental functional importance: the anti-codon, which is responsible for specific mRNA codon recognition, and the 3' end, to which the tRNAs corresponding amino acid is attached (by aminoacyl-tRNA synthetases). tRNAs cope with the degeneracy of the genetic code in two manners: having more than one tRNA (with a specific anti-codon) for a particular amino acid; and 'wobble' base-pairing, i.e. permitting non-standard base-pairing at the 3rd anti-codon position. Lineage: Eukaryota; Metazoa; Chordata; Mammalia; Artiodactyla; Camelidae. RNAcentral also lists the same sequence under 2 other names. The record is from Rfam by way of RNAcentral.